Long non-coding RNA from Daphnia magna, 5461 nucleotides. RefSeq lists it as uncharacterized. NCBI's taxonomy places the organism in Eukaryota, Metazoa, Arthropoda, Branchiopoda, Diplostraca, Daphniidae. The record is from RefSeq and is a predicted model, not a curated record. The transcript is spliced from 4 exons.
UAACUCAACGCUCAAGUCUCCAAAGUCAAACAGGAAAAAGAGUGGACGAGAGCGAAACGAAUGUGGGGGUCCCGAGACAACACGUUGAACCGCUCUGUAGGUUACGUGUGUACUAUAUAGGGAAAAAAAAUGCCUCUCUCUACGUAUAUGCGUUGUGUGUCUGAUGGACCAACUUUUGGUAAUAACGGCUAUUUCGUGUUUACUGUCGUAAUGGAUGUUUGCCGCGACGCCGUGCGGUCAAGCCUCACGAUAUUUCCGCACCACUCCGCUCGAGGUCAAGAGAAGACAACAGUUUUGCUUCGACAACCAAAGUCAGCAAAAACAACAAGAGAAAACAACAAGAGAAUCGAAAAAAAAAAAGCCGUAAAUUGUGCGACAAUCAUUUUUAACAGGCGACACAAGGCGGAAACAAAACCAAACACCAAAAAGGAUUUAGGGGAGCGUGUGAGGCGGACAUUGCCGGAAAAAGAAAAAAAAACGAUUCAUGGUGUACAUACAUAUACGCACCCGUAUUGUAUGUAUCAUUUGCAUCACGCAGCACAAAAGGCAGCAUCUCCUUGUUUAUGUAUAGCACAGGAGCCUGCUGGAAUCACCUGGGAUGUAUAUAACACACAGGGUGGAAGAUAGAGAGACCCUAUGAUAUUCGCUUCCUGUCAGUUGAGCUCGGCUUUGUUCGUCAUUUCGACUGUUUCUGUUGUGCUGUGCAGCGCGGAACUAGCGUUUAACGUGGCCAGUCGUUUUGUUGUUUGGUCAAUUGUUGUUGUUGUUGUUUUUUUUAUCGCUUAUGAAUAAGUCGAUACGGGUCGAGGCCUAUUAAACUAUGGAAUAUCAUUAGAAUAAGAAACAAGUUGCCGACGAAUGCAAAAGUGCGGAAGCUUUCACUGUUCUAUCCCCUUUUCCGUGUGUAAUUGGCGUUCACUAGGUUUCGAUCCUUUCAAACAGAAAAGAGUUUCGUUGUUCACGGUGAAAACGAUGCAAUUGUAUCAGAAAGGAAAACACAAAAGACAAAAAAGACAGACGAGAUAACAACGGCAGAAAACGGCGGAAGAUGAGAUAAUAUGAAGGAAAGAGGAAAGAAUUAAAGCGGCAUAGCUCAAAGGAGUUGGACAGUUAUGCAGCCGACCAAACGCCAGUUCAUUUUCGGCCUUUUUUUUCUUUCUUUCUUUCUUCUUUCCUUUUGCUGUACACAGUCAGAAAGAGAAACAUAAUCAUUUCCAUCGGUUUUCGGUUGUUGUUGUUUGCCGUGUCGUUGUGUUCCUCUUACUCAUUCCCGCUUCUCGUUUAAUCGAACGACGUAUAUGUAUACGUAACAAAACGAGAAAAAGGAGAGUAUCUAACAAUGAACAGAGUUUCAAAAGAGAAAGAGGAAAUGAGACCACCCAUUCAUUUUGGAAUUCCAUUUUUUGUUUUUUGUUUUUCAUUAAUUUUUUUCUUAUUCUCAUUUCUCGAGUGGGGGAUCAGGACAACGAUCUUUAUAUUCAGAAAAGAAGGUGGUACGCUUUAAUACCGGGAUGAAUGUGGCAUUUGCAGCGCAAUAAAACAAUGAGGAACAACUGCAAUUUCCGGUGAAAUGCGGUUCAAUUCAGGCGCAAUUGAUCGUGUUUGGCUUUUAUAAAGUCGUCGUUGAACAUCAAGUCUCUUUGAGGCGUCACACAGGAUGGACAGAACCACGGAAUCUCCUUCAAAUUCAAAGGGGUUGAGCUGAAACCACUCGGAUUCCGGUUUCAUUGAAAAACGAUCGAUGGGCGGGGAAACUCAUAUUUUAUUCGGAAUCAGCGUUUAAUUAUAUAUUUUAUAGGAGGUUAGAUUUCAUCAAAUACCAAUCCACAAUUUUAAGUUCAACUCAAAAAGGCAUAGAGAAAGAAAAAAGAAGAGGGAAGUGGAUCUAUUGAAAUCUAACCGACACCAUGAAGCGAGUUGGCCAUCUACCACAGACCUACUACGAAGAAACGACGACGACGACUUGAUGGAUCGUAAAAACAUCUUUGGCCGAUGUGUCUCUCUUCUUCUUCUUCUUCUUGGCUCUCUCAAUCCGUUUAUGUUCACCUGGACAUUUUCUUCAGCGUCUCCUAUGUCGCAAGGAAAUUGACAUAUAGUCUGUGUGUGUGUGAUUCUGUGAAAGAUGGAUGCGUCCCCUACCCUCUUCUUUCUAGUGAAAAAUAAUAACAACAUAGAGACACACACAAUACGCUGGUUGGAUAUGUAGAAGAGAGAGAGACAAGUGGGUCCCACUCUCCAAUGUGUUCGACCUCUUGGCUCACAAGAGAUUGAUCCACUACGUAAGGUGCUGCGACAGCGUCACAUCGAGCUGGGCGGGCUCAUAAAAAAUAAAAAGGAGAAAGAAAAAAAUAUAUACACAACAGAGCAGAGGGGGGUUUAUAAAUGUAUAGGCAAUCUUCUUCUUAAAAAAAAAAAAGGAGGAUCACCUCCGUCACUAGCAACCACACACACAGACAAGAUACCCAAAGACAAAAAAAAAAGAAAAGAAAGAAUAAUACCUCCUUCUCCAUUUCGGUUACCUCAAAUUGACAAACAAGUUUCCUUCUCCAGUUGGUCGACGGAUGACAUCCUUCUCUUUUUUUUAUUUUUUAUUUUUUUUUUUGCUUUUGGGCCCGGCCCUUAUUAUCGUCUUUCUUCUUUUAGCUCUUGUUGGUCGACUCUCAUCUCUCAAGUUGUUCUUAAAAAAAAAAAAAAGAAAAGAAAUAAUUCCUUAUCAGUUUAAAAAGAUCGACUAGGAAAUUGAAAUAUGUCUGUCGCAGACAUUCUUCUGCCUGUUCUUCUUCUUUGUUGCACAAGUUUUGUUUUCACGUGCCUGUUGAGAGGGCGAGUAUAGCCAGUGAGGGGUUACCAUCUUACGUAUACAGAAUGUUUCAUCAGGAAUAGAUGGAUUGAAACAAGAGGAAAACAUUAUCGGAAAUAUGUCCCAUAUAACUCUUUUAAAACGGUUCACAUUUCCAUCAAAAGAAAUGCUCUGUACGGCAAUCGAAAACUGACAGGCAUUUAGCAAUAAAAACAUUUUGAAUUUCUUCGUAUGUAUCGGAGGAGAUCAAGAACUCACCUCCAUCUUUGUUUAUUGCUUAAGUUUUUCUUUCUUUUCUUGAAUACGUAUACAAGAUCCCGUUCUUGGUAUUAGCGCAAUACACCGACAGUUAUACUUGAUUAAAUUCCUAUGGUAUCAGAGAAUGCACGUCGGGAUUGAAUGUACGGUAACCUGUUGUUAUAUACAUGGCCAUGAAACUUAACAUCCCAAACGAAGAGCGCUAUCAUCGAAAACUAUGCGUUAACAGCCAAUUAUAAUUUCCAAGUCCUACACAUCCGGACGUGCGUGAUUCCCGGUCUAAAAUCAAGUUGGACAACAAGUUUCAUAGAUAUACGUCUCCAUCAGGAGCGCAGUUGGAGAAGGUGUGGCCGCGGGAUGUUGUUUACCAUUCGCGCACACGAAGAUUGUGGCCAAUUUAUGGAAAAAGCCAACAAUAAAAAAUGGGGAAAAAAAGGAGAUCUCCUCUUUAUCCCUCGUUUAUUUUGUUGUGGAAAGGCCAUAGUCAACGUGUGUGUCUCACGGAUGCGCACGCGUCAAACUCCAUUAGACAUUCACAUGGACAACUGAGGCCCUGCCCCGUGAGUUCCGAACGAUUUCCCUCACGUCGCUUCGUGCUGGCAGUCAUCCUAUGUGGUCGAGUCGGUAAAAGAUUCUUUCAUUUUUCCUCGUCCCGUCCGAUACCGAAUUUUAUUUCUUGCCUUUUAUUCGUCGUCUUUCCGUGUCCAUAUCCUUCUAUUCCCUUUUUUAUUCGUUAUUGACGUUGUGAGUUGCUUUUAACCGCAACUCUCCACACAUUUUUUUAUUAUUCCCUUUUUUUAUAUGAACAGACAUAUCGACUCUGCGUGUGACCUCGGCAAAAAUAUUUCCAAAGUAUAUAAUAUUUUGUUGUUUGGUUUAUUUUUCCUUCUUUUUGCGUCCGUCUGGUUCGGGUCAUAUGGACGUCUAUGGCAUUUUCUUUUCAGACGGACGCAUAGUCAUCAUCGUUUUAGAGGAGGUAUACACCUUUUCCCCCGCUUUUGCUGUUUGUGUGUGUGUUUGCAGUCCAUCAUCAAAGAGUCGGCAAAAAGCCGCAGGAAAUCAAAUAAAAAGAAUGAAAAAGAAACAGAGAGAUGCAAGUCGAUUUUGAGUGUUUUUAAAAGAAGUUGAAAGAAGAACGACAUGAAACACGAAGAAAAAGGCGUGCGUUUUUCGCAGCCUCGAAACCAACACAUUUUUGUGGGAAAUAGCACAAGCGGGGGGUUCGCAUAAGUUCUUGUUUAUUCUUUCAUUCUUCCUUGCCCGAUUUUUUAUGAUACCUCUCAAUAAAAGACAAGAAAAGGGCAAAAAACAAACAAAGAAUAAGAGACGAUAUCCCCCGGUCGGAGCCAUUGUCAUUCGCCCCCUAUCAUCUCUGAAACGAUAUAAUAUAAUUUUUAAUAUUCCGUGUUGGGAUAAAGAGAGUCUCCUAACAAAAUAUACGUGCAGCUCAAUAAUAUAAAUAUCGAUUACGUUUGUAUAAGCAAAUCCCCAGUUGUUAUACGACCGCGUUAAAGACAAACUGAAAAAGUAAUAAAUAAAAGAAAGAAAAGAGAAAGACACAAUAAGACGGUUGGGCGAUUCAGUUUUUGAAACUCCCGCACAUUAUUAUUGAGGUCUUCUUCCAUCCAUUUCGGAGGAAAAAUUAAAAAUAUCAUUUUAUUCAUGCGCUCGACCCCCCACUGUUGGAAAAAAGGGAAUCGUUGAUGCAUUUCUCGAUGCUCUGCAGACGCAAGAAGAAAAUACAUUACACGGAGGAAGGGACUCCAAAAGCAGGAAAAGAGCGAAACCUAUCAAUGGUGAUGAAUCAGCUGGGCAUUUGAUUUCAACAAUCCAUCAUCUGAUGAUCCGCUUUCCCCCCCCCCUUUCACACGCAAUUCCGAUUUGUUCUACGUUGUUUAUACUUUCCUCGUUUCUCAUUGAAUGAACGAAAGGCAGAAACACAAACGUUUUUCAAAUUCGAAGCGGAACAAAACAAAAAUUUAAGAAAGGUCACGUAGGGAUCGAAUUGCCCAGAUGGAUUGGGUUUAACGUGACCAAUAAAGUUUCGUCUUUCUAUAUUCGCUUUUUGGCGACGUGCGUGUAAAGUGCGCGCUAGAAGACAGGUAAUAUACGUUCUCGGUUGAAGGGACGCGACGCUGUCGCAAAGAAUCGUGCAUCCAUAAAUCCGACUCGAAUUGACAUUUUCUGUAUAUAUACGUUAUAUAUGUGAGUGCGUAUAUAAUAAUAGCUAUAAACAUGUACACAGUAAAAUAUGGCAGGUAUAUACGGUCGUUGUCUCUUGUGUCGUGCUGUACUUACCGUGUUCAAACAGCGGGGAGAAACCACAAUUUAUUCAAAUGAAAUCUUCCAGUAUUUUGAUUCUUUUUUUAUUUUUCCUUUCUUUUUCCUAUACGACAUUCUUGC